This 455-nucleotide long non-coding RNA is filed under the name Phoenix dactylifera (date palm). RNAcentral's name for it is "long non-coding RNA (PDAC_LNC015360)". The record is from RNAcentral. Lineage: Eukaryota; Viridiplantae; Streptophyta; Magnoliopsida; Arecales; Arecaceae.
CUAGGAUGCUUUGAGAGCAUUGGCUUCAAAUGCUUCCCGGUCAAAACAAUGAAAGACCUCCCAAAAUGAAAGUCAGCAUUCAACAUCUAAGAUAUAUAAAAUACUUAGUGACUUUUUUUUGGAGGUCCCUUGCAUGUGCAAUGAAAAAAUGAAUGAUAGAAAUAUGGCUAGUGAGCAAAAAUAUAGUAUAAACCAUAUAAUUUACAAUUACAAACCACUGAAUUUCUAACUAUUUUGAAACAUAUAUAAAUCAAAUUUCAUCUAAUUUAGAGGUUUCUAAACUAUAGAUUAAACUAAAGCAUGAUAUCAUACCACUGAAUGGUUCGUUUUGUUUUCAUUUGAUGUAUAACUACAAGAUAUCAGAAAUAUGUGAUUUUUAGUUUCUAGACAAUUUUAAUGUCAUAAAUCAUAAUCAACACUGCUGAUUUUAUCUUGAGAGGUCCUUCAUUGUUUUU